RNAcentral lists this ribosomal RNA (482 nucleotides) under uncultured bacterium. Its description in RNAcentral is "partial 16S ribosomal RNA". It matches the Rfam family "Bacterial small subunit ribosomal RNA", at positions 28 to 507 of the family's 1533-position model. The record is from RNAcentral.
GACGAACGCUGGCGGCGUGCUUAACACAUGCAAGUCGAACGCUGAAGCUCAGCUUGCUGGGUGGAUGAGUGGCGAACGGGUGAGUAACACGUGAGUAACCUGCCCUCUUCUUUGGGAUAACGCCCGGAAACGGGUGCUAAUACUGGAUAUUCACUGAUCCUCGCAUGGGGGUUGGUGGAAAGGUUUUUUCUGGUGGGGGAUGGGGUCGCGGCCUAUCAGCUUGUUGGUGGGGUGGUGGCCUACCAAGGCUUUGCCGGGUAGCCGGCCUGGGAGGGUGGCCGGGGAGGUUGGGAGGGAGAUACGGGCCAGAGAGAUACGGGAGGCAGCAGUGGGGAAUAGUGCACAAUGGGAGAAAGCAUGAUGCAGCGACGUGGCGUGAGGGAGGGGGGCCUGCGGGUUGUAAACCUCUUUCGCUAAGGGUCAAGCCGCAGCGUGGGGUUGUGGUGAGGGUAGUGGGUAAAGAAGCGCCGGCUAACUACGUG